Molecule: long non-coding RNA, 514 nt
Filed under: Mytilus galloprovincialis (Mediterranean mussel)
Lineage: Eukaryota; Metazoa; Mollusca; Bivalvia; Mytilida; Mytilidae
Source: RNAcentral
CUUCAACAGAUACAUGUUAAUGGUAAUUUAUGGCACACAACUAUCACAGUAGCACAGUUUAUGUAACAUGUAUGCGUAUGUGUUUAGCUGAUUUGAAUAAAGGCAACAGUAGUAUACCGGAGUGCAAAAGUCAUAAAUUGAUUUGAGAGAAAACAAUUCCGGGUUAAAAAACCAAAACCGAGGGAAACACAUCAACUAUAAGAGGAAAACGAAGGAAACAGGAACACCGUAGUGCAACAAAAAAAAAAUGCCAGCACACAUAGAAACGAACUAAUAGAUAACUGCCAUAUUCUUCGGUACAGGACAUUUUAAGAAAAAAAAAAUGAUGGGUUGAACCUGGUUCACUGACUAUCCAAACCUACCGCUUUAUGACAAUGUUAAAAACUUUUAACUAUCUUCAAAACACUACAUGACAGAAAUACAACACAAACACACGCAAGAACAUUCAUAUAACAAAGAACUGAACUAUCAUGGCUUAUCUAGUAAGUUUGGUUCAAUUGUAAAGACCGACAUU